GACGAACGCUGGCGGCGCGCCUAACACAUGCAAGUCGAACGGGGUUAUAGCAUGAAGCUGGUUUCGGCUGGUGGAUUGCUAUGACUUAGUGGCGAACGGGUGAGUAACACGUGGGUAACCUGCCCUUAGGAUUGGGAUACCCCCGAGAAAUCGGGUUUAAUACCGGAUAUCAUUCCAGGGUGAAACCCCCCGGAAUAAAAGCUGCGAGCAAUCGUGGCGCCUUAGGAUGGACCCGCGGCCUAUCAGCUAGUUGGUGAGGUAAUGGCUUACCAAGGCUAAGACGGGUAGCCGAACUGAGAGGUUGAUCGGCCACACUGGAACUGAGACACGGUCCAGACUCCUACGGGAGGCAGCAGUGAGGAAUUUUGCGCAAUGGGCGAAAGCCUGACGCAGCGACGCCGCGUGGGGGAAGAAGGUUUUCGGAUUGUAAACCCCUUUCAUGAGGGAAAAAGCCCCGAGCAAUCGGGGUGAUGGUACCUCAAGAAGAAGCCACGGCUAACUCUGUG
Molecule: ribosomal RNA, 506 nt
Filed under: uncultured bacterium
Lineage: Bacteria
Description: bacterial SSU rRNA
Rfam family: Bacterial small subunit ribosomal RNA
Source: RNAcentral